AGUGAACGCUGGCGGUAGGCCUAACACAUGCAAGUCGAACGGCAGCACAGUAAGAGCUUGCUCUUACGGGUGGCGAGUGGCGGACGGGUGAGGAAUACAUCGUAAUCUACUUUUUCGUGGGGGAUAACGUAGGGAAACUUACGCUCAUACCGCAUACCACCUACGGGUGAAAGCAGGGGAACUUCGGACCUUGCGCGAUUGAAUGAGCCGAUGUCGGGUUUGCUGGUUGGCGGGGUAAAGGCCCACCCAGGGGCCGAUCCGUAGCUGGUCUGGGUGGAUGGUCAGCCACACUGGAACGGAGACACGGUCCAGACUCCUACGGGAGGCAGCAGUGGGGAAUAUUGGACAAUGGGCGCAAGCCUGAUCCAGCCAUACCGCGUGUGUGAAGAAGGCCUUCGGGUUGUAAAGCCCUUUUGUUGGGAAAGAAAAGCAGCAGGUUAAUACCCCGCUGUUCUGACGGUACCCAAAGAAUAAGCACCGGCUAACUUCGUG
Molecule: ribosomal RNA, 492 nt
Filed under: uncultured bacterium
Lineage: Bacteria
Description: partial 16S ribosomal RNA
Rfam family: Bacterial small subunit ribosomal RNA
Source: RNAcentral